AGAAAAAUAAGCUAAAUAAAGCUAAUGGGUUCAUACCUCAUCAAUGGAAAAUUCCUUUUUCUA
This 63-nucleotide transfer RNA is filed under the name Cryptophyllium tibetense. Its description in RNAcentral is "Phyllium tibetense tRNA-Met". Lineage: Eukaryota; Metazoa; Arthropoda; Insecta; Phasmatodea; Phylliidae. The record is from RNAcentral.